Long non-coding RNA from Gasterosteus aculeatus aculeatus (three-spined stickleback), 1049 nucleotides. NCBI's taxonomy places the organism in Eukaryota, Metazoa, Chordata, Actinopteri, Perciformes, Gasterosteidae. The record is from Ensembl.
GGAACAAUGUAGAAGCUGAGUUGUUGAAGGGCUGACCUCUGACAGCAACAAAGGGGAGAACGUUUUCAGAGACCCAUGUGAGUCAUCACUGAGAUGGCUUUGUGCACGUGAAGCUGUGAGGGGACAUUAGUCAUUGGAAAGGAAGAGUGGAAGCCCCUAUGGCGGCUUGGUACACAUGGACUCAGGAAGCCGAUGGGAUGAACACAUCCAACGAGAUGACUUGCAGACCCAUUAAGCAAGAAACUUAAUGUGCUGGUGGACAUAGUUUGCAAGUGUGGAAAAAUAAAAUCAUGCACAUUUUCAAACCUAUAUGUUAAGAUACCACAGAGAUGCCACCGCCAACGAUCGGUGAGACCAACUGAAGCCGUGACACUCACGAGCCACAACCUGUCCCUCUAACAGAAAACACACUUUUCUGGCAGUGUUGUGAAGGUUUUUUUUGAAUCCUCAAUGCGUUGGGUGAGUGGGGAGCACGGUCGUCCUCCAAUCAGAGGGUUGUCGGUUCAAUCCCAGGCUCUGCUAACCCGCAUGUCGAUGUGUCCUUGGGCAAGACACUUAACCCAACAUUACUCCUGUAGCUGUGACUACAGUGUGUGAAUGUUAGUUACUGGUGUCACUGUGUAUGGUUCUCCUCUGAUGUACAAGUACAGUCCAUUUCGCCAUCGUUGCAUAGUUAGGAGGAUAGGAUUUGAUGCACUGUGAUUAAAAAAAAAUUUUUUUUAAAAGAGCAUCAGAAAUUGAACCCUUUUCUACCUAAUUGGAAAAACUAGGAAAGCUCUUCAACUUGAACAUUCACCUACCCAGCCGUGUCUUUCAACUUUUGAGAACAUGUUUUUAAAAAUGUUUUGUGUUCAACAAAUAGAGCGAGGACAUUAAAUAAUCUCUGUCAACUCAAUUAUUUGAUCCAAUGUCCUAAAAUAUUUAUUCAUCCAAAUUGUUAAGAGGAUUUUGAAAAAGAACUUCAGAUCAACAAUAAAUGCUGGAGAAAAAAAAACACCUUUUCAACAAACGCCGGGUGAUUAUUUUUCAGAAAAUCCGUUACUUCAACA